UAGGGAAUCUUCCACAAUGGACGCGAGUCUGAUGGAGCAACGCCGCGUGAGUGAAGAAGGUUUUCGGAUCGUAAAGCUCUGUUGUUGGUGAAGAAGGAUAGAGGCAGUAACUGGUCUUUAUUUGACGGUAAUCAACCAGAAAGUCACGGCUAACUACGUGCCAGCAGCCGCGGUAAUACGUAGGUGGCAAGCGUUGUCCGGAUUUAUUGGGCGUAAAGCGAGCGCAGGCGGAAUGAUAAGUCUGAUGUGAAAGCCCACGGCUCAACCGUGGAACUGCAUCGGAAACUGUCAUUCUUGAGUGCAGAAGAGGAGAGUGGAAUUCCAUGUGUAGCGGUGGAAUGCGUAGAUAUAUGGAAGAACACCAGUGGCGAAGGCGGCUCUCUGGUCUGCAACUGACGCUGAGGCUCGAAAGCAUGGGUAGCGAACAGG
RNAcentral lists this ribosomal RNA (429 nucleotides) under bacterium. RNAcentral describes it as "partial 16S ribosomal RNA". It matches the Rfam family "Bacterial small subunit ribosomal RNA", at positions 355 to 776 of the family's 1533-position model. The record is from RNAcentral.